This is a non-coding RNA of Nomascus leucogenys (northern white-cheeked gibbon), 148 nucleotides long. It matches the Rfam family "Metazoan signal recognition particle RNA". From Rfam's summary of the family: The signal recognition particle (SRP) is a universally conserved ribonucleoprotein. It is involved in the co-translational targeting of proteins to membranes. The record is from Rfam. Lineage: Eukaryota; Metazoa; Chordata; Mammalia; Primates; Hylobatidae.
GCCAGGCAUGAUGGUCCAUGCCUGUAGUCCCAGCUACUUGGGAGGCUGAGGCAAGAGGAUCACUUGAGCCCAGGAGGUCGAGGCUGCAGUGAGCUGUGAUCACACCACUGCACUCCAGCCUGGGUGACAGAGUGAGACUUUGUCUCAA